Molecule: ribosomal RNA, 254 nt
Filed under: uncultured bacterium
Lineage: Bacteria
Description: partial 16S ribosomal RNA
Rfam family: Bacterial small subunit ribosomal RNA
Source: RNAcentral
UACGUAGGGAGCAAGCGUUGUUCGGAUUUACUGGGCGUAAAGGGCGCGUAGGCGGCGCGGUAAGUCACUUGUGAAAUCUCUGAGCUUAACUCAGAACGGCCAAGUGAUACUGCAGUGCUAGAGUGCAGAAAGGGCAAUCGGAAUUCUUGGUGUAGCGGUGAAAUGCAUAGAUAUCAAGAGGAACACCUGAGGCGAAGGCGGGUUGCUAGGCUGACACUGACGCUGAGUGCGCGAAAGCCAGGGGAGCAAACGGG